CAGCCGCCGCGGUAAUGCGUAGGGUGCGAGCGUUAAUCGGAAUUACUGGGCGUAAAGCGUGCGCAGGCGGUUGUUUAAGACAGGUGUGAAAUCCCCGGGCUUAACCUGGGAACUGCGCUUGUGACUGCACAGCUAGAGUAUGGCAGAGGGGGGUGGAAUUCCACGUGUAGCAGUGAAAUGCGUAGAGAUGUGGAGGAGCACCGAUGGCGAAGGCAGCCCCCUGGGCCAAUACUGACGCUGAGGCACGAAAGCGUGGGGAGCAAACAGGAUUAGAUACCCGCGUAGUCCCUGUCUCUUAUAA
This 301-nucleotide ribosomal RNA is filed under the name uncultured bacterium. RNAcentral describes it as "partial 16S ribosomal RNA". It matches the Rfam family "Bacterial small subunit ribosomal RNA", at positions 509 to 809 of the family's 1533-position model. The record is from RNAcentral.